Long non-coding RNA from Drosophila ananassae, 1145 nucleotides. RefSeq lists it as uncharacterized. The transcript has 3 exons. The record is from RefSeq and is a predicted model, not a curated record. Lineage: Eukaryota; Metazoa; Arthropoda; Insecta; Diptera; Drosophilidae.
GUGGCAGGCGUGUGAAAUGACAGGACAACAAUGCUAAGUCAAGUGUAAAAUUUUAAAUUUGCUUCUCAUUUGCCAUCAGAGGCUCAAGCACUCACACACGCUCCGCAAAAUGCUCACCCGGCCAUUCAAUUAUGUGUGGCAAACGGAUGCGAAUACGAAAUUUCUUAAUCCGAUUUGGGUGAUACAAUGCCGACUCCGGACCAAAUGAAGGACUCCUGGCCGUAUCCUUCGGAAAAGCCGAAACAAAACUCCUGGGCUGCGAAACUCCUGGCAGACAACAAACUAAAGCAAUUAUAAUACGCGAAUUGCGGCGGAACUAAGCAGCCACAAAGGAGCAGCCAGUAUCUUUGAUGUUGCGUUUACAAGGAUUAAUUUAUUUGCAUUUGGGCCCGGACAAAUGUUCCUGUCGCAAUGACUUCACUGGUCCAGGGUUCAAGUUCCAUUAGGGUGAGCAAUCUUCCAUCAAUUUAUUUAAUUUAUUCGUUAUAGCUGACGGACCAAAGCCAUGGAACUCAUUUACGGACCAGCUUACAGAUACAUUUCUAUCCGGCACUAGCACCUUUCUGAGACGAAUCCUCUAGGGAUCCCUUAACCGAAAAGGGAAACUAGUCCAGACACAUCUGUGGUGACUCCGGCCCCAAAAUGCUCUCAAAUGAACUAGGCGAACAAAGAGACAUUUGCAAAUUGCUUUGGUUUUGCUGCCUUGCCGGCCAUAAUGAGCAGAUUUGUUUUAAUAAGACGGGACUGCGAACUAAGCGCCGGGCCUGGCCUCACUUGGCAGUUUUAAAAUGAGCAGUCCGACCAGCAACUAAUUGCGAGCUGAAUUCCAAAUCCGGAAUCCUGCAUCCAGCCCGACGGGCGGUGAGCUUAACAAAUCGCUAGUCCGCAAAAUGAAUGCGACUCCUUGCAGGGGAUGUGGCUAAUGUGCUCAUUAAAGUUUUCCGCUGGCAGGAAGUGAGCAAAAACGACAGCAAAAAGGAUCUGCACCUGAUGGCGGCAGGAUGAAAUACUCGCAUCUGGUCGUUAUGACAAUAUAGCGUAUCAAUGGCCAAAUAAUUAUUGCAGCCACUGAUGGUAAGCAGUGUUGCAAAAAUGGUUUGAAUCUGGCUAUAUAUUUUUGGUUUGAAAAUGCUUAAAAGCUUUAA